CCUACGGGUGGCAGCAGUAGGGAAUCUUUCACAAUGGGCGAAAGCCUGAUGGAGCAACGCCGCGUGCAGGAUGAAGGCCUUCGGGUUGUAAACUGCUUUUAUAAGCGAGAAAUAUGAUGGUAACUUAUGAAUAAGGAGCGGCUAACUACGUGCCAGCAGCCGCGGUCAUACGUAGGAUCCGAGCAUUAUCCGGAGUGACUGGGUGUAAAGAGUUGCGUAGGUGGCAUAAUAAGUAGCUAGUGAAAUCUGGUGGCUCAACCAUUCGGACUAUUAGCUAAACUGUUAAGCUCGAGACCGUUAGGGGUAACUGGAAUUUCGAGUGUAGGAGUGAAAUCCGUAGAUAUUGGAAGGAACACCAAUAGCGAAGGCAGGUUGCUGGGACGGUACUGACGCUGAGGCACGAAAGCGUAGGGAGCGAACGGGAUUAGAUACCCCAGUAGUC
This 442-nucleotide ribosomal RNA is filed under the name uncultured bacterium. Its description in RNAcentral is "partial 16S ribosomal RNA". It matches the Rfam family "Bacterial small subunit ribosomal RNA", at positions 338 to 795 of the family's 1533-position model. The record is from RNAcentral.